UACGUAGGGGGCGAGCGUUGUUCGGAAUUACUGGGCGUAAAGGGCGCGUAGGCGGCCCCUUUUGUCGCGUGUGAAAGCCCCGGGCUCAACCUGGGAGGUGCGCGCGAAACGGGGGGGCUUGAGUUCGGGAGAGGAGCGUGGAAUUCCCAGUGUAGAGGUGAAAUUCGUAGAUAUUGGGAAGAACACCGGUGGCGAAGGCGGCGACCUGGUCCGAUACUGACGCUGAGGCGCGAAAGCGUGGGGAGCAAACAGG
RNAcentral lists this ribosomal RNA (253 nucleotides) under uncultured bacterium. Its description in RNAcentral is "partial 16S ribosomal RNA". It matches the Rfam family "Bacterial small subunit ribosomal RNA", at positions 524 to 776 of the family's 1533-position model. The record is from RNAcentral.